Molecule: ribosomal RNA, 338 nt
Filed under: Escherichia coli
Lineage: Bacteria; Pseudomonadati; Pseudomonadota; Gammaproteobacteria; Enterobacterales; Enterobacteriaceae
Also listed under: 3 other names
Description: bacterial SSU rRNA
Rfam family: Bacterial small subunit ribosomal RNA
Source: RNAcentral
GAGUAAUGUCUGGGAAACUGCCUGAUGGAGGGGGAUAACUACUGGAAACGGUAGCUAAUACCGCAUAACGUCGCAAGACCAAAGAGGGGGACCUUCGGGCCUCUUGCCAUCGGAUGUGCCCAGAUGGGAUUAGCUAGUAGGUGGGGUAACGGCUCACCUAGGCGACGAUCCCUAGCUGGUCUGAGAGGAUGACCAGCCACACUGGAACUGAGACACGGUCCAGACUCCUACGGGAGGCAGCAGUGGGGAAUAUUGCACAAUGGGCGCAAGCCUGAUGCAGCCAUGCCGCGUGUAUGAAGAAGGCCUUCGGGUUGUAAAGUACUUUCAGCGGGGAGGAA